This 1964-nucleotide long non-coding RNA is filed under the name Macaca fascicularis (crab-eating macaque). Its description in RNAcentral is "lncRNA (ENSMFAG00000051765.1)". Lineage: Eukaryota; Metazoa; Chordata; Mammalia; Primates; Cercopithecidae. The record is from RNAcentral.
GGGGCCGACCCCUCAUGAAGUUUCCUGCCUGAUUACUUAGGGGGUUGACAUUUUUAUCAAAAUUGGACUUGCAUUGAUUUGCCCAAUUUUUCCCCCUUUUUAUAUCGGGCAUAUAAAGGGAAUUCUUUUCUAGAGUUACUUUGGUGUUUACUAUUGGGGCAUUCCCACUUCAUAUGACCUGGCUCUCCACAUAGAAAACAAUUUGGGCUUUUCUCCUUUUUCACUUUAGGAGGCUUUAAUGCCAUAGCCAAUAUUCUGGCUUUGUGUGUUUCAGUCCCCACCAACGGACAAGCUCGUAUAGGCUGCCUUUCUUCUGAUUGCCUGCUGGCAGUCUACGUUAGUAUUUUCAUAAGCCAACUGCAACAAUAAGAUACCAGCAGCCUGGAAAUGACUAAUUUGUCUCUUAAUUGCCUGUGUUAACCAAUUGAUAAAUUCAGCAAAUGACUCCUGAGGCCCUUGUUGAACAUUUACAAAAGAUCCCUGUUGAACUUCACCUUCAGGAAUUUGGUCACAAGCCCUGCAGGUGCAUAAGGACACUUGUGCAUAGGCUUGGGGGAUAAAAUUUAAUUGUUGUUGUACAUUGACAUAGGGACCCCCUCCCCUGGAACAUAACAGCUGUUAUGUUUUGCCCGGCCAAUUGAUUCUGGUUGGCUUGUUUUUUGUACAACUCAUCAUAUUCUGCCCUCCAGAGAAGGUGUUAACUUGCCUCUAAAGUUGUUUUAGCUAGCACUGACCAGUGCCAUGGGGUCAUAUGGAAGUUAUCUGCUAUGGCCUAAAUUAAUCUUUUUGUAAAUGGGCUAACAGCUCCAUUUUCUCUAAUGCUUUUUCUUAUUUCUUUGUAAGUGUUGAAAGUAAUCGGUUCAUGUACAUGAUUGCCUCAUCAAUCUUGUAUUACUGGGCAGGCCAAGAGCUCCCCUUCUAAUUCCACUUGUCUAAGACACGGUCCCAUAAUUGUAGUGUAUUCCUUGUCUUUUUUCCAAUUCAUUGGGGGAGGGGGCUCAGGGAAAAUCUUUGUCUCCUCUGUGGCACCUUUACCUGGUAAUGGCAGGGCUGAGGGAGGAGGAUGAGGUGGUAAGGUAGAUGAUGUUUCUUCCUCCCUUCCCUUUUUAGGCUUUUCUAUGUAGAGUGGUUAAAGAUGUUACUGGGACCCAUUGCCCUUGUGCAUGAUGUCGUUUAAGAUUUCUUCCCACUUGUUCUCAGAGCUCUGUCUAGUGUGCCUUCUUCUGGGAACCAUGGGUUAUGGAAAACAACAGUUUGAAUUAGGUCCCUUAAUUGAGCCUCCAAGACCGAGGUUCCAGUAGCUUUAAGCAGCUGUUUCAAUAUUUUUAUAUGCUGUUGCUGUUGAGCUGAUAACUGUUGUCCCAUGAUAGAACCCUAGCUUGAAAAUCCCCUUGAACUUGGAAAUCCCCAGGGGGCACCAAUUACUUACUGCACAGUCACUUCACUUACAUUUUUUAGGGUUCCAUUGUGUCCAUUGCAGUGUUCCUCACAUGAGGCACCACUUGCUGGGUCUGUCCUGCAUACCCUGGCCAACCGAUGGAUGAAAUAAGUACUUAGACACAGGUAUGCAAUGUAAGAGCAGGUAGGUGACUGCCUGGCUCAAGUGGCCAGAGUGCAGCCCUGAGAAGCUGGAGCUGCUUGCUUGUAUUCAGUGCAAGCACAAUGCUGAAAGCCUGGAGCAAACACAGUCUGUAGGAGAUUAACUUUUAUUGUUCCCCUUUCACAGGAGUUCUAGACCAGACUGACCAACAUGGUUAAAUCUCAUCUCUACUAAAAAUACAAAAAAUAGCUUGGGUGCAGUAGCACAUGCCUGUAAUCCCAGCUACCUGGGAGGCUGAAACAGGAGAAUCGCUGGAACCUGAGAGAUAGAAGCUGCAGUGAGCCAAGAUCAUGCCACUGCACUGCAGCCUGGGUGACAGCACAAAACUGUGUCUCAAAAAGAAAAAGAAAAAGAAAAAGAAAAA